AAAGGUUUUGUUGAAUGAAAUGCCAUUUUUUUUUGUUUUUUCCCUUAGGGAACAAUAAGAAAAUUUCUCUUUUUGAGCCAAUCUCCUUCUGAAACGAGCUCCAGGAGUGGUCACAACCUGCCAUAAAAAUGCCAUGUGCAAGAGGAUAUAUUUCAUAUCGGGCAAGCAGGCUGGGACGAUACGAUCUGUUUGGGGUUUGAAGCUCUAUCAAGACCAGCAAAACCACAGCAGGGUUGGACUUGACUUGCCCCCUUGCUGCCUUUUGAGCCAUUUGGUGUUUUCUGGAUUCCUCCCUCCCUCAUUUGUCAUGUCUGCUGUGACUUCCCAGCAGGCAGCAGACACGAGGUACGUGCUGAGUGAUCAUCCUGUUGGGUUUUCCAUGUCUGACACUCAAAAAUAAAAAUUAUGUGGAGGGGAAAGAACUGUUUGCUGCGAGUGAUAACGGCUCUGCUGGCGUGGGGACACUGGGGACAGCACACAGGGACACAGGAGGUGUGCUGGCCCUGGAGCACUGCAGGCAAAAGGGGUGGGGUGUGGAAAAUCAGUGGCAGGGCACGAGGCUCUGUGGAGCAGUCUGGGGCUGCCAGGCUGUCCUGGCAAACCUGGGCUGGGUUUAAAUUUAUGAUUUAUGGGCUGGAUGCAGAGCUGUAAAUCCUGCUCUGAUUCUGCUUUGGGGCUCUCGGGGAAAACUCCAGCUGAGCUUUGUCCUGCUUUUUCACAUAAACACAAACCAAAAGCCUCAGCCCAAAUUCUGCCAGAUCAGGGGGACUGUGCCAAAGCAGAGUAUUUUUAACUGUCUUCCCCUGUUUUUUGGCUUUUGGGAUGGGCAUUGGGGUGCUGGGCAAUAAAUAAAGGAAGAGAGACAGUGUUUUGUGAACUCUGGGCAUGACCUUUUCCACGAGGUGAAGUUAUUGUGUGAGGCUUUCCUGUCUCAAUGGGAAGGGACAGCACAAUAAACGAUCCCUCAGCAGAUGCUGACAACUCAAUCACGAGGGUAGGAACUAAUUUCAAGGUCCAGCCAAACUGAAAUUGCUGCUGAGCCACAGCUGGGUGUGAGGCAUCAUUUGGACUGGGGGGGCAUCAGCGGCCCAGAACAAGGCAGUCACAAGAAAAGGCUAAAAAACCUCAUUUAUUUAACAUCAGGGGAUAAGCAACCUCUAGAUAGGAAGAUACAGAGUGAUUUACUGCCCUUAAAAUCUGUUUGGUCUUUAAUUUUUUUUUUUUUCCCUAAAUAAAACUCUCAUAAAUAAAGGUGGCUUGGAUAAGGCCCUUUACUGCACCGCAGCACCAGAAAGCAGAGCACCACUGGCAGGAAA
This 1316-nucleotide long non-coding RNA is filed under the name Ficedula albicollis (Collared flycatcher). Its description in RNAcentral is "lncRNA (ENSFALG00000027849.1)". The record is from RNAcentral. Lineage: Eukaryota; Metazoa; Chordata; Aves; Passeriformes; Muscicapidae.